AGGCUUAACACAUGCAAGUCGAGCGCCCCGCAAGGGGAGCGGCAGACGGGUGAGUAACGCGUGGGAACGUACCCUUUACUACGGAAUAACGCAGGGAAACUUGUGCUAAUACCGUAUGUGCCCUUAGGGGGAAAGAUUUAUCGGUAAAGGAUCGGCCCGCGUUGGAUUAGCUAGUUGGUGGGGUAAAGGCCUACCAAGGCGACGAUCCAUAGCUGGUCUGAGAGGAUGAUCAGCCACAUUGGGACUGAGACACGGCCCAAACUCCUACGGGAGGCAGCAGUGGGGAAUAUUGGACAAUGGGCGCAAGCCUGAUCCAGCCAUGCCGCGUGAGUGAUGAAGGCCCUAGGGUUGUAAAGCUCUUUCACCGGAGAAGAUAAUGACGGUAUCCGGAGAAGAAGCCCCGGCUAACUUCGUGCCAGCAGCCGCGGUAAUACCGAAGGGGGCUAGCGUUG
This 452-nucleotide ribosomal RNA is filed under the name Rhizobium etli. RNAcentral's name for it is "bacterial SSU rRNA". It matches the Rfam family "Bacterial small subunit ribosomal RNA", at positions 44 to 543 of the family's 1533-position model. The record is from RNAcentral. Lineage: Bacteria; Pseudomonadati; Pseudomonadota; Alphaproteobacteria; Hyphomicrobiales; Rhizobiaceae.